This 1404-nucleotide long non-coding RNA is filed under the name Callithrix jacchus (white-tufted-ear marmoset). RNAcentral describes it as "lncRNA (ENSCJAG00000074411.1)". Lineage: Eukaryota; Metazoa; Chordata; Mammalia; Primates; Cebidae. The record is from RNAcentral.
AUGGACUCAUACACAGACACACACAGACACACACACAGACACAUGGACUCACACUCACACAGACACACACACAGACACAUGGACUCACACACAGACACACACACACACAGACACAUGGACUCAUACACACACACAGACACAUGGACUCACACACAGACACAUGGACACACACACAGACACACACAGACACAUGGACUCACACACACAGACACACACACAUACACAUGGACUCACACACACAGACACAUGGACCCCCCACACACAGACACACACACAGACACAUGGACUCACAGACACACACUCACACACAGACACACACACACAGACACAUGGACACAGACACACACACACACAGGCACAUGGACUCACACACACACAGACACACACAGACACAUGGACUCACACACACACAGACACACACAGACACACGGACUCACACACACAGACACACACAGACACACGGACUCACACACACACAGACACAUGGACUCACACAGACACAUAGACACACACACAGACACAUGGACUCACACACACACAGACACAUGGACUCACACACACAGACACACCCAGACACAUGGACUCACACACACACUCACAGACACACAGACACAUGGACUCACACACAGACUCAGACACAUAUGCAGACACACACUCCCACACCCAGACACACACACACAGAUGUACACUCUCCCCCCCACACACGAACUCACACACACAGACACACACACAGACACACACACAGACACAUGGACACACACACACACAGACACACAUGCAGACACACUCCCACACACACCCAGACACACCCAGACACAGAUGCACACACUCUCCCCCCACAGACACACGGACUCACACACACAGACACACAUGGACUCAGAGACACACACACGGACUCACACACAGACACACAUGGACUCAGACACACACACGGACUCACACACACAGACACACAUGGACUCCGACACAGACACACGGACUCAGACACAGAUACAGGCAUGGACUCAUACACACACAUACACAUACACAUACAUUCACACACACAUACACACAGACAUGCACAUUUACACAUACAUAGGCACAUACACAGACUCACGUACAUGCAUGUACAUGUACACAUAUACCAACUCACACACAUACAUAUAUAUACAAACCCAAAAACAUACACCCGCAUACACAGAUACACACAUAUACCAACUCAUGUACAUAUACACAUAUGCAAUACACACACAGACACAUAUACACAUACACAAUAUACACACAGACUCACAUACAUACACAUGUACAUACACGCAGAUACACAGACACAGGUUUGGCACCCUCUCUGUCUCUGUCUCUCUCUGUCUCGCCUUCACCAGAUGUGGCCCCUCCAUCUCGAACUUCCCAGCCUCCGGAAUUUAUUAA